GUGCCAGCAGCCGCGGUAAUACAGAGGUCCCAAGCGUUGUUCGGAUUCACUGGGCGUAAAGGGUGCGUAGGCGGCCGGGUAAGUCUGUUGUGAAAUCUCCAAGCUUAACUUGGAAACUGCAGUGGAUACUAUCCGGCUAGAGGAAUGGAGGGGAGACUGGAAUACUUGGUGUAGCAGUGAAAUGCGUAGAUAUCAAGUGGAACACCAGUGGCGAAGGCGAGUCUCUGGACAUUUCCUGACGCUGAGGCACGAAAGCCAGGGGAGCAAACGGGAUUAGAAACCCCUGUAGUCC
This 292-nucleotide ribosomal RNA is filed under the name uncultured bacterium. RNAcentral describes it as "partial 16S ribosomal RNA". It matches the Rfam family "Bacterial small subunit ribosomal RNA", at positions 505 to 796 of the family's 1533-position model. The record is from RNAcentral.